AUUGAACGCUGGCGGAAUGCUUUACACAUGCAAGUCGAGCGGCAGCGCGGGGCAACCUGGCGGCGAGCGGCGAACGGGUGAGUAACACAUCGGAACGUGCCCAGACGUGGGGGAUAGCCCGGCGAAAGCCGGAUUAAUACCGCAUACGAUCUGAGGAUGAAAGCGGGGGAUCGCAAGACCUCGCGCGUUUGGAGCGGCCGAUGGCAGAUUAGGUAGUUGGUGGGGUAAAGGCUUACCAAGCCUGCGAUCUGUAGCUGGUCUGAGAGGACGACCAGCCACACUGGAACUGAGACACGGUCCAGACUCCUACGGGAGGCAGCAGUGGGGAAUUUUGGACAAUGGGCGCAAGCCUGAUCCAGCCAUUCCGCGUGAGUGAAGAAGGCC
Molecule: ribosomal RNA, 384 nt
Filed under: uncultured bacterium
Lineage: Bacteria
Description: bacterial SSU rRNA
Rfam family: Bacterial small subunit ribosomal RNA
Source: RNAcentral